UCAGAUGGUGUGGAAUGUGAAGGGUCCUGGAGGUCUGCCAGAGUGAAUCCCCAUCCUGCAGGGGCUGAGGCACCCAGCUGCUACCAGUACUACCACCAUGGUUUUGUGUUAGGUGCUGAGGACACAGUAACAAUCAGAUCGAUCCAGACCACACUGUGCUCUCAUUCCAGCUGACAAAAUUGUCAAAAAAGAAAAAUGCAAUAAGUGCUACAACAGAGAUCUAGACAAAGUGUAGCAGGGCCACUUGGUGGGACCCUGCUUUGUCCCACACACAGAAUUUCUUGGAAUUUAGUCACGUGGACCUUCUUUUUUCUUCUAAAUCUCAACCAUAUUAUCUAUCUGGCUGUGCAAGGAAGAUCAAUAAGGAGGAGCUCUAACAAUUUCCAUUGGUUUUCUGCAAUCCAAACCGAGAUGAUCCAGGCUUAAACAAGACGUAGGGAGUCUGGGGGUAGAGAAAGGCUGAUUCUUUGCUGUAUCUUACAGGAGGUCUACACUUAUGAAUUCCAGCUUUUCAGGUGGAUAAUUUGACAUGAAGGUUUGUUCUUUGAACAUUUUUAAUCAUUCUAUCCUGCCUCCCAAGGCUCCCAAGAGACAUUUUACUGAAAUAGAAGUAAAAUGCUAAAUACUUUA
Pan troglodytes (chimpanzee) is the source of this 630-nucleotide long non-coding RNA. RefSeq lists it as uncharacterized. The transcript has 3 exons. The record is from RefSeq and is a predicted model, not a curated record. NCBI's taxonomy places the organism in Eukaryota, Metazoa, Chordata, Mammalia, Primates, Hominidae.